RNAcentral lists this ribosomal RNA (660 nucleotides) under Protospirura numidica. RNAcentral's name for it is "SSU rRNA". It matches the Rfam family "Eukaryotic small subunit ribosomal RNA", at positions 141 to 806 of the family's 1831-position model. The record is from RNAcentral. Lineage: Eukaryota; Metazoa; Nematoda; Chromadorea; Rhabditida; Spiruridae.
GGAUAACUGUGGUAAUUCUAGAGCUAAUACAUGCACCAAAGCUCCGACUUAUGGACGAGCGCAUCUAUUAGAUUAAAACCAAUCGGGCUUCGGCCCGUCAAUUGGUGACUCUGAAUAGCUAUGGCUGAUCGCAUGGUCUCGUACCGGCGACGUAUCUAUCAAGUGUCUGCCUUAUCAACUUUCGAUGGUAGUUUAUGUGCCUACCAUGGUUGUAACGGGUAACGGAGAAUAAGGGUUCGACUCCGGAGAGGGAGCCUGAGAAACGGCUACCACAUCCAAGGAAGGCAGCAGGCGCGCAAAUUACCCACUCUCGGCAUGAGGAGGUAGUGACGAAAAAUAACGAGACCGUUCUCUUUGAGGCCGGUUAUCGGAAUGGGUACAAUUUAAACCCGUUAACGAGGAUCUAUGAGAGGGCAAGUCUGGUGCCAGCAGCCGCGGUAAUUCCAGCUCUCAAAGUGUAUAUCGUCAUUGCUGCGGUUAAAAAGCUCGUAGUUGGAUCUGCGCCUCAGGACCCGGUCCGCCCAUUGGACGAGAACUGGGCUCCUAGGCUACACAAAGCUGGUUUUCCCUACGUUGCCUUCAUCGGUCGCGUAGGGUAGCUGGCAAGUUUACCUUGAAAAAAUUAGAGUGCUCAAUGCGGGCUAAUGCCUGAAUACUCGU